CCUACGGGAGGCAGCAGUGAGGAAUAUUGGUCAAUGGGCGAGAGCCUGAACCAGCCAAGUCGCGUGAAGGAUGAAGGAUCUAUGGUUUGUAAAUUUCUUUUAUAUGGGAAUAAAGUGAGGAACGUGUUCCUUUUUGUAUGUACCAUAUGAAUAAGCAUCGGAUAACUCCGUGCCAGCAGCCGCGGUAAUACGGAGGAUGCGAGCGUUAUCCGGAUUUAUUGGGGUUAAAGGGUGCGUAGGUGGUUAAUUAAGUCAGCGGUGAAAGUUUGUGGCUCAACCAUAAAAUUGCCGUUGAAACUGGUUGACUUGAGUAUAUUUGAGGUAGGCGGAAUGCGUGGUGUAGCGGUGAAAUGCAUAGAGAUCACGAAGAACUCCGAUUGCGAAGGCAGCUUACUAAACUAUAACUGACACUGAGGCACGAAAGCGUGGGGAGCAAACAGGAUUAGAUACCCGUGUAGUC
This 460-nucleotide ribosomal RNA is filed under the name uncultured bacterium. RNAcentral's name for it is "partial 16S ribosomal RNA". It matches the Rfam family "Bacterial small subunit ribosomal RNA", at positions 338 to 795 of the family's 1533-position model. The record is from RNAcentral.